UUGAGUAUACUAAGUGUCAUGGCAGGGGGUACACCAGCGUGCUUGGAUCGAUGAUGAUUUCCAAUAAAACAUUCCUUGGAAAGCUGAACAAAAUGAGUGAAAACUCAAUACCGCCACUGUCAUCGUGACUGAGGUCCAACACCUGGGAUCACAAAUGUCACUGAGGGACUCACAUGGCCUCCAUUCACCUUGCGAGACUUGGAUCCAGUGAGAGAGCCUUCAGAAUGUUCUUUGCUUGCCUAAAUCACCAGAAAUCAUGGCCUAAAUCAAGGCUUCACCUUUUGCUCUAAUGAUAACAUGCUUUCCGGUUGAGGAGAUCAUUGUCAGUAUCUUGGAAGUUAGCCCUACCAACUCCAUCAGCAAUAAUGUAUAGUAGGUUGUGAGGCAAGUGUAAGUUUAGCGGGGGCAGCAUAGUUCAACAAUGUACACUGGAAUGUCAGGAAAUGUGUUUCUGUCCGUGUCUGAAUCCUUCGCAUGAAUGAUAACCCUUCUGUUUCAUAAAACAGAGAUACAUAACGGGAAUGUUACAGGCGACAUGUGGAAUGAGGCAGUAGCAAUUCUCAGGAAAUAUGGGAAUGUGGACUCUUCCUGUGUGAAAACAAAGCUCUGUUUUCUUGAAAGACUGAUUGUGGCCAUGGCAUUUAGGUUAGAAAGAGAGCCUUGGAAUUUAAAAGGUUGGCAUGUAGCCUUCUUGUCGGAGGAUUCUAGAAGUGCAUGCUUUCAAAUGUCCAAGGAUUCAUACCACCUUUAUGGAUGUAUGGAGAACACCCAUUUUAAUCCUAGUUUCUAUGUUUAUUGUUGGGACAUUUUUUGUCAGUCUAUCCGGGUAGUUUGCCACUAGUUCUUAUGGAUUGACUGUACCAAAAUGGUCUGGACAUACAUCUCCUCCUCUUCUAGGAUCUAAGAAUGUGAGCAUGCAAGUUUGUUUCUUACACACAUUCCUUCUAGGAAUUUUAUAUUUUGGUAUGGCCGUAGAAUAUAGGCAUGGAGUGUCUGCAGGAUUAUCUUUCCUUAUGGUCUUGAUGAGGCCUUGCUGAAGGUUAACUUGGCAUUCUGGCUAUGUGUUUUGGGGCUGAAGGUAGUCCUGAUAUCUUAGACAUUGUUCUUUUCUCCAAGCAAAUAUCAACAAGAAAUUGUGUUUCCAUUUGAUUAUGAAAGUGAGCUGUAUGCUUAGGAUCAUGCUGUUGAUAAUAACAUAUAUCUCAGGGACUACAGGUUAUGCUUGUGUUUGGUGACCUGAGAGGGUUUGAACAGACACUUUCUCUGUGGUGAUCAAUGUCAGAUACCGCAGCAAUAGCACUCACAGGAAUUUAGUACCAGUCAAAAUCUGAAUAGGAGAUAUAUGAGCAUGGUCAGAGACAGAGAGAAAGAACAAUUGUUGAAGAGGCUAAGCAUGUGUGAGACAGAGGAAGACAGUGAGAGACAGAAAGAGAGAGGGGUGGGAGAGGGGGGGUGAAGUGGAAAAGAGGACACUGUGAUAUUAAAGCAGAUAUCUUGAUUGAGAGAAAUAAGGAAACCAAAUAGAGAGAAUGUGAGUGAGAAACUGAGAAGCUAGGAGAGUCACUGCAAGUCAAUUUCAGAGAGAAAGUGAAGAAGCGAGAGAGAGAAAGAGUACAUAAGAAGUCCAUUCAUCUAAUGUGGAUGAGAAUCUUAUAUGAUAUUUGAAUCGGUUCUCAUCGAAGGCAGAGUAGGAAUAAUAGGUGUAGUAUGUUAUGAUUAUGGAGGGUGCUCCGAUUGUGGCCAAAGCUAUUAAGAUUCUGGUGGUUUCCAUGGGAAGAGUAAGGCCUGAUUUUCUCUGUCAUAUCCGGCUGAACUGAGAUUUACUUAUUUUUGUAGACAACUUCCAUUAAGCCAUGUUGUUGGUCUCAUUCUUUUGUGUACCUCGUGCCAAUUUCUUUGGAUGGUUCUCAAGUGAUGUAUAUACUACUGUAGUUUUCGUUAUCAGAUAUUGACUUCGUCCCAUCUUAAGAACUUUGUUGCAUGGUAACCUCCAGGAAUUCGGUGAUAGAAUUGGGAAAAUUAUGUCCCCAAACAGUUCCUUGGAGGAAAAAUAUCUCUGAUAUGGAUUGUGAGGGCAAAUUUCUAGAGGACAGAAGGAGUGCUGAGAGAGCCCAAGUGUUCGAUAAAUUAAGAACUAACAACAAUGCAUCACAGUCUCCAUGAUUUGCAAGGAAUCCAAUAAAGUGGGGGAAUGUGCUAUUUGCUUUACUUUCAGGGACAGAGUCCCUGUCUCAUACCAGACAAGCACGGCUUGGAGAGGAACUGAGUAUGGAAUAUCAGAUGAAGUUGGAAGAAGCCUAACAUCGCCUGCCCUGAAGUCCUCAGUUGAAGCUCUCUUGCCUGAGGAUACCUGAAGUGAAACGGACAGAGUCCCUGUCUCAUACCGGACAAGCACGGCUUGGAGAGGAACUGAGUAUGGAACAUCAGAUGAAUUUGGAAGAACCCUAACAUCGCCUGCCCUGAAGUCCUCAGUUGAAGCUCUCUUGCCUGAGGAUACCUGAAGUGAAAGGGACAGAGUCCCUGUCUCAUACCGGACAAGCACGGCUUGGAGAGGAACUGAGUAUGGAACAUCAGAUGAAGUUGGAAGAACCCUAACAUCGCCUGCCCUGAAGUCCUCAGUUGAAGCUCUCUUGCCUGAGGAUACCUGAAGUGAAAGGGACAGAGUCCCUGUCUCAUACCGGACAAGCACCGUUUGGAGAGGAACUGAGUAUGGAACAUCAGAUGAAGUUGGAAGAAGCCUAACAUCGCCUGCCCUGAAGUCCUCAGUUGAAGCUCUCUUGCCUGAGGAUACCUGAAGUGAAAGGUAAGAAACACUUGACUUUCCAAAGGAACUCAAAGUGCUCAGGUGUUGAUGGAGCUCGCAGGAGUUCCCAACCUUGAAUCAUGAUCCUUUGGGACCUGGUUCAGGCUCACAGCCUGUGGCUACUCCUGUGAUUGGAGAAUAGGCCCAGUGGUUCGUGGUAAAGGAUGUGAAUGUCUUGAAUUCUGUUCGCUCACCAAACCUGAUCUAUUUUGAGUAUACUAAGUGUCAUGGCAGGGGGUACACCAGCGUGCUUGGAUCGAUGAUGAUUUCCAAUAAAACAUUCCUUGGAAAGCUGAACAAAAUGAGUGAAAACUCAAUACCGCCACUGUCAUCGUGACUGAGGUCCAGCACCUGGGAUCACAAAUGUCACUGAGGGACUCACAUGGCCUCCAUUCACCUUGCGAGACUUGGAUCCAGUGAGAGAGCCUUCAGAAUGUUCUUUGCUUGCAUAAAUCACCAGAAAUCAUGGCCUAAAUCAAGGCUUCACCUUUUGCUCUAAUGAUAACAUGCUUUCCGGUUGAGGAGAUCAUUGUCAGUAUCUUUGAAGUUAGCCCUACCAACUCCAUCAGCAAUAAUGUAUAGUAGGUUGUGAGGCAAAUGUAAGUUUACCGGGGGCAGCAUAGUUCAACAAUGUACACUGGAAUGUCAGGAAAUGUGUUUCUGUCCGUGUCUGAAGCCUUCGCAUGAAUGAUAACCCUUCUGUUUCAUAAAACAGAGAUACCUAACGGGAAGGUUACAGGCGAUAUGUGGAAUGAGGCAGUAGCAAUUCUCAGGAACUAUGGGAAUGUGGACUCUUCCUGUGUGAAAAGAAAGCUCUGUUUUCUUGAAAGACUGACUGUGGCCAUGGCAUUUAGGUUGGAAAGAGAGCCUUGGAAUUUAAAAGGUUGGCAUGUAGCCUUCUUGUCGGAGGAUUCUAGAAGUGCAUGCUUUCAAAUGUCCAAGGAUUCAUACCACCUUCAUGGAUGUAUGGAGAACACCCAUUUUAAUCCUAGUUUCUAUGUUUAUUGUUGGGACAUUUUUUGUCAGUCUAUCCGGGUAGUUUGCCACUAGUUCUUAUGGAUUGACUGUACCAAAAUGGUCUGGACAUACAUCUACUUCUCUUCUAGGAUCUAAGAAUGUGAGCAUGCAAAUUUGUUUGUUACACACACUCCUUCUAGGAAUUUUAUAAUUUGGUAUGGCCGUAGCAGAUAGGCAUGGUGUGUCUGCGGGAUUAUCUUUCCUUAUGGUCUUGAUGUGGCUUUGCUGAAGGUUAACUUGGCAUUUUGGCUAUGUGUUUUGGGGCUGAUGGUAGUCCUGUUAUCUUAGACAAUGUUCUUUUCUCCAAGCAAAUAUCAACAAGAAAUUGUGUUUCCAUUUGAUUAUGGAAGUGAGCUGUAUGCUUAGGAUCAUGCUGUUGAUAAUAACAUAUAUCUCAGGGACUACAGGUUAUGCUUGUGUUUGGUGACCCUAGAGGGUUUGAACAGACACUUUCUCUGUGGUGAUCAAUGUCAGAUACCACAGCAAUAGCACUCACAGGAAUUUAGUACCAGUCAAAACCUGAAUAGGAGAUAUAUGAGCAUGGACAGAGACAGAGAGAAAGAACAAUUGUUGAAGAGGCUAAGCAUGUGUGAGACAGAGGAAGACAGUGAGAGACAGAAAGAGAGAGCGGGGGAAAGAGGGAGGGUGAAGUGGAAAAGAGGACACUGUGAUAUUAAAGCAGAUAUCUUGAUUGAGAGAAAUAAGGAAACCAAAUAGAGAGAAUGUGAGUGAGAAACUGAGAAGCUAGGAGAGUCACUGCUAGUCAAUUUCAGAGAGAUAGUGAAGAUGCGAGAUAGAGAAAGAGUACAUAAGAAGUCCAUUCAUCUAAUGUGGAUGAGAAUCUUAUAUGAUAUUUGAAUCGGUUCUCAUCGAAGGCAGAGUAGGAAUAAUAGGUGUAGUAUGUUAUGAUUAUGGAGGGUGCUCCGAUUGUGGCCAAAGCUAUUAAGAUUCUGGUGGUUUCCAUGGGAAGAGUAAGGCCUGAUUUUCUCUGUCAUAUCCGGCUGAACUGAGAUUUACUUAUUUUUGUAGACAACUUCCAUUAAGCCAUGUUGUUGGUCUCAUUCUUUUGUGUACCUCGUGCCAAUUUCUUUGGAUGGUUCUCAAGUGAUGUAUAUACUACUGUAGUUUUCGUUAUCAGAUAUUGACUUCGUCCCAUCUUAAGAACUUUGUUGCAUGGUAACCUCCAGGAAUUCGGUGAUAGAAUUGGGAAAAUUAUGUCCCCAAACAGUUCCUUGGAGGAAAAAUAUCUCUGAUAUGGAUUGUGAGGGCAAAUUUCUAGAGGACGGAAGGAGUGCUGAGAGAGCCCAAGUGUUCGAUAAAUUAAGAACUAACAACAAUGCAUCACAGUCUCCAUGAUUUGCAAGGAAUCCAAUAAAGUGGGGGAAUGUGCUAUUUGCUUUACUUUCAGGGACAGAGUCCCUGUCUCAUACCGGACAAGCACGGCUUGGAGAGGAACUGAGUAUGGAACAUCAGAUGAAGUUGGAAGAAGCCUAACAUCGCCUGCCCUGAAGUCCUCAGUUGAAGCUCUCUUGCCUGAGGAUACCUGAAGUGAAAGGUAAGAAACACUUGACUUUCCAAAGGAACUCAAAGUGCUCAGGUGUUGAUGGAGCUCGCAGGAGUUCCCAACCUUGAAUCAUGAUCCUUUGGGACCUGGUUCAGGCUCACUGCCUGUGGCUACUCCUGUGAUUGGAGAAUAGGCCCAUUGGUUCGUGGUAAAGGAUGUGAAUGUCUUGAAUUCUGUUCGCUCACCAAACCUGAUCUAUUUUGAGUAUACUAAGUGUCAUAGCAGGGGGAACACCAGCGUGCUUGGAUCGAUAAUGAUUUCCAAUAAAACAUUCCUUGGACAGCUGAACAAAAUGAGUGAAAACUCAAUACCGCCACUGUCAUCGUGACUGAGGUCCAGCACCUGGGAUCACAAAUGUCACUGAGGGACUCACAUGGCCUCCAUUCACCUUGCGAGACUUGGAUCCAGUGAGAGAGCCUUCAGAAUGUUCUUUGCUUGCCUAAAUCACCAGAAAUCAUGGCCUAAAUCCAGGCUUCACCUUUUGCUCUAAUGAUAACAUGCUUUCCGGUUGAGGAGAUCAUUGUCAGUAUCUUUGAAGUUAGCCCUACCAACUCCAUCAGCAAUAAUGUAUAGUAGGUUGUGAGGCAAAUGUAAGUUUAGCGGGGGCAGCAUAGUUCAACAAUGUACACUGGAAUGUCAGGAAAUGUGUUUCUGUCCGUGUCUGAAUCCUUCGCAUGAAUGAUAACCCUUCUGUUUCAUAAAACAGAGAUACAUAACGGGAAGGUUACAGGCGACAUGUGGAAUGAGGCAGUAGCAAUUCUCAGGAACUAUGGGAAUUGGACUCUUCCUGUGUGAAAACAAAGCUCUGUUUUCUUGAAAGACUGAUUGUGGCCAUGGCAAUUAGGUUGGAAAGAGAGCCUUGGAAUUUAAAAGGUUGGCAUGUAGCCUUCUUGUCGGAGGAUUCUAGAGGUGCAUGCUUUCAAAUGUCCCAGGAUUCAUACCACCUUCAUGGAUGUAUGGAGAACACCCAUUUUAAUCCUAGUUUCUAUGUUUAUUUUUGGGACAUUUUUUGUCAGUCUAUCCGGGUAGUUUGCCACUAGUUCUUAUGGAUUGACUGUAGCAAAAUGGUCUGGACAUACAUCUCCUCCUCUUCUAGGAUCUAAGAAUGUGAGCAUGCAAGUUUGUUUCUUACACACACUCCUUCUAGGAAUUUUAUAUUUUGGUAUGGCCGUAGAAGAUAAGCAUGGAGUGUCUGCAGGAUUAUCUUUCCUUAUGGUCUUGAUGAGGCCUUGCUGAAGGUUAACUUGGCAUUCUGGCUAUGUGUUUUGGGGCUGAUGGUAGUCCUGAUAUCUUAGACAUUGUUCUUUUCUCCAAGCAAAUAUCAACAAGAAAUUGUGUUUCCAUUUGAUUAUGAAAGUGAGCUGUAUGCUUAGGAUCAUGCUGUUGAUAAUAACAUAUAUCUCAGGGACUACAGGUUAUGCUUGUGUUUGGUGACCUGAGAGGGUUUGAACAGACACUUUCUCUGUGGUGAUCAAUGUCAGAUACCGCAGCAAUAGCACUCACAGGAAUUUAGUACCAGUCAAAACCUGAAUAGGAGAUAUAUGAGCAUGGUCAGAGACAGAGAGAAAGAACAAUUGUUGAAGAGGCUAAGCAUGUGUGAGACAGAGGAAGACGGUGAGAGACAGAAAGAGAGAGGGGUGGGAGAGGGGGGGUGAAGUGGAAAAGAGGACACUGUGAUAUUAAAGCAGAUAUCUCGAUUGAGAGAAAUAAGGAAACCAAAUAGAGAGAAUGUGAGUUUGAAACUGAGAAGCUAGGAGAGUCACUGCAAGUCAAUUUCAGAGAGAAAGUGAAGAAGCGAGAGAGAGAAAGAGUACAUAAGAAGUCCAUUCAUCUAAUGUGGAUGAGAAUCUUAUAUGAUAUUUGAAUCGGUUCUCAUCGAGUGCAGAGUAGGAAUAAUAGGUGUAGUAUGUUAUGAUCAUGGAGGGUGCUCAGAUUGUGGCCAAAUCUAUUAAGAUUCUGGUGGUUUCCAUGGGAAGAGUAAGGCCUGAUUUUCUCUGUCAUAUCCGGCUGAACUGAGAUUUACUUAUUUUUGUAGACAACUUCCAUUAAGCCAUGUUGUUGGUCUCAUUCUUUUGUGUUCCUUGUGCCAAUUUCUUUGGAUGGUUCUCAAGUGAUGUAUAUACUACUGUAGUUUUCGUUAUCAGAUAUUGACUUCGUCCCAUCUUAAGAACUUUGUUGCAUGGUAACCUCCAGGAAUUCGGUGAUAGAAUUGGGAAAAUUAUGUCCCCAAACAGUUCCUUGGAGGAAAAAUAUCUCUGAUAUGGAUUGUGAGGGCAAAUUUCUAGAGGACGGAAGGAGUGCUGAGAGAGCCCAAGUGUUCGAUAAAUUAAGAACUAACAACAAUGCAUCACAGUCUCCAUGAUUUGCAAGGAAUCCAAUAAAGUGGGGGAAUGUGCUAUUUGCUUUACUUUCAGGGACAGAGUCCCUGUCUCAUACCGGACAAGCACGGCUUGGAGAGGACCUGAGUAUGGAACAUCAGAUGAAUUUGGAAGAACCCUAACAUCGCCUGCCCUGAAGUCCUCAGUUGAAGCUCUCUUGCCUGAGCAUACCUGAAGUGAAAGGGACAGAGUCCCUGUCACAUACCGGACAAGCACGGCUUGGAGAGGAACUGAGUAUGGAACAUCAGAUGAAGUUGGAAGAAGCCUAACAUCGCCUGCCCUGAUGUCAUCAGUUGAAGCUCUCUUGCCUGAGAAUACGUGAAGUGAAAGGGACAGAGUCCCUGUCUCAUACCGGACAAGCACGGCUUGGAGAGGAACUGAGUAUGGAACAUCAGAUGAAGUUGGAAGAAGCCUAACAUCGCCUGCCCUGAAGUCCUCAGUUGAAGCUCUCUUGCCUGAGGAUACCUGAAGUGAAAGGUAAGAAACACUUGACUUUCCAAAGGAACUCAAAGUGCUCAGGUGUUGAUGGAGCUCGCAGGAGUUCCCAACCUUGAAUCAUGAUCCUUUGGGACCUGGUUCAGGCUCACUGCCUGUGGCUACUCCUGUGAUUGGAGAAUAGGCCCAUUGGUUCGUGGUAAAGGAUGUGAAUGUCUUGAAUUCUGUUCGCUCACCAAACCUGAUCUAUUUUGAGUAUACUAAGUGUCAUAGCAGGGGGAACACCAGCGUGCUUGGAUCGAUAAUGAUUUCCAAUAAAACAUUCCUUGGACAGCUGAACAAAAUGAGUGAAAACUCAAUACCGCCACUGUCAUCGUGACUGAGGUCCAGCACCUGGGAUCACAAAUGUCACUGAGGGACUCACAUGGCCUCCAUUCACCUUGCGAGACUUGGAUCCAGUGAGAGAGCCUUCAGAAUGUUCUUUGCUUGCCUAAAUCACCAGAAAUCAUGGCCUAAAUCCAGGCUUCACCUUUUGCUCUAAUGAUAACAUGCUUUCCGGUUGAGGAGAUCAUUGUCAGUAUCUUUGAAGUUAGCCCUACCAACUCCAUCAGCAAUAAUGUAUAGUAGGUUGUGAGGCAAAUGUAAGUUUAGCGGGGGCAGCAUAGUUCAACAAUGUACACUGGAAUGUCAGGAAAUGUGUUUCUGUCCGUGUCUGAAUCCUUCGCAUGAAUGAUAACCCUUCUGUUUCAUAAAACAGAGAUACAUAACGGGAAGGUUACAGGCGACAUGUGGAAUGAGGCAGUAGCAAUUCUCAGGAACUAUGGGAAUUGGACUCUUCCUGUGUGAAAACAAAGCUCUGUUUUCUUGAAAGACUGAUUGUGGCCAUGGCAAUUAGGUUGGAAAGAGAGCCUUGGAAUUUAAAAGGUUGGCAUGUAGCCUUCUUGUCGGAGGAUUCUAGAGGUGCAUGCUUUCAAAUGUCCCAGGAUUCAUACCACCUUCAUGGAUGUAUGGAGAACACCCAUUUUAAUCCUAGUUUCUAUGUUUAUUUUUGGGACAUUUUUUGUCAGUCUAUCCGGGUAGUUUGCCACUAGUUCUUAUGGAUUGACUGUAGCAAAAUGGUCUGGACAUACAUCUCCUCCUCUUCUAGGAUCUAAGAAUGUGAGCAUGCAAGUUUGUUUCUUACACACACUCCUUCUAGGAAUUUUAUAUUUUGGUAUGGCCGUAGAAGAUAAGCAUGGAGUGUCUGCAGGAUUAUCUUUCCUUAUGGUCUUGAUGAGGCCUUGCUGAAGGUUAACUUGGCAUUCUGGCUAUGUGUUUUGGGGCUGAUGGUAGUCCUGAUAUCUUAGACAUUGUUCUUUUCUCCAAGCAAAUAUCAACAAGAAAUUGUGUUUCCAUUUGAUUAUGAAAGUGAGCUGUAUGCUUAGGAUCAUGCUGUUGAUAAUAACAUAUAUCUCAGGGACUACAGGUUAUGCUUGUGUUUGGUGACCUGAGAGGGUUUGAACAGACACUUUCUCUGUGGUGAUCAAUGUCAGAUACCGCAGCAAUAGCACUCACAGGAAUUUAGUACCAGUCAAAACCUGAAUAGGAGAUAUAUGAGCAUGGUCAGAGACAGAGAGAAAGAACAAUUGUUGAAGAGGCUAAGCAUGUGUGAGACAGAGGAAGACGGUGAGAGACAGAAAGAGAGAGGGGUGGGAGAGGGGGGGUGAAGUGGAAAAGAGGACACUGUGAUAUUAAAGCAGAUAUCUCGAUUGAGAGAAAUAAGGAAACCAAAUAGAGAGAAUGUGAGUUUGAAACUGAGAAGCUAGGAGAGUCACUGCAAGUCAAUUUCAGAGAGAAAGUGAAGAAGCGAGAGAGAGAAAGAGUACAUAAGAAGUCCAUUCAUCUAAUGUGGAUGAGAAUCUUAUAUGAUAUUUGAAUCGGUUCUCAUCGAGUGCAGAGUAGGAAUAAUAGGUGUAGUAUGUUAUGAUCAUGGAGGGUGCUCAGAUUGUGGCCAAAUCUAUUAAGAUUCUGGUGGUUUCCAUGGGAAGAGUAAGGCCUGAUUUUCUCUGUCAUAUCCGGCUGAACUGAGAUUUACUUAUUUUUGUAGACAACUUCCAUUAAGCCAUGUUGUUGGUCUCAUUCUUUUGUGUUCCUUGUGCCAAUUUCUUUGGAUGGUUCUCAAGUGAUGUAUAUACUACUGUAGUUUUCGUUAUCAGAUAUUGACUUCGUCCCAUCUUAAGAACUUUGUUGCAUGGUAACCUCCAGGAAUUCGGUGAUAGAAUUGGGAAAAUUAUGUCCCCAAACAGUUCCUUGGAGGAAAAAUAUCUCUGAUAUGGAUUGUGAGGGCAAAUUUCUAGAGGACGGAAGGAGUGCUGAGAGAGCCCAAGUGUUCGAUAAAUUAAGAACUAACAACAAUGCAUCACAGUCUCCAUGAUUUGCAAGGAAUCCAAUAAAGUGGGGGAAUGUGCUAUUUGCUUUACUUUCAGGGACAGAGUCCCUGUCUCAUACCGGACAAGCACGGCUUGGAGAGGACCUGAGUAUGGAACAUCAGAUGAAUUUGGAAGAACCCUAACAUCGCCUGCCCUGAAGUCCUCAGUUGAAGCUCUCUUGCCUGAGCAUACCUGAAGUGAAAGGGACAGAGUCCCUGUCACAUACCGGACAAGCACGGCUUGGAGAGGAACUGAGUAUGGAACAUCAGAUGAAGUUGGAAGAAGCCUAACAUCGCCUGCCCUGAUGUCAUCAGUUGAAGCUCUCUUGCCUGAGAAUACGUGAAGUGAAAGGGACAGAGUCCCUGUCUCAUACCGGACAAGGAUGGCUUGCAGAGGAACUGAGUAUGGAACAUCAGAUGAAGUUGGAAGAAGCCUAACAUCGCCUGCCCUGAAGUCCUCAGUUGAAGCUCUCUUGUCUGGGGAUACCUGAAGUGAAAGGGACAGAGUCCCUGUCUCAUACCGGACAAGGAUGGCUUGCAGAGGAACUGAGUAUGGAACAUCAGAUGAAGUUGGAAGAAGCCUAACAUCGCCUGCCCUGAAGUCCUCAGUUGAAGCUCUCUUGUCUGGGGAUACCUGAAGUGAAAGGGACAGAGUCCCUGUCUCAUACCGGACAAGGAUGGCUUGCAGAGGAACUGAGUAUGGAACAUCAGAUGAAGUUGGAAGAAGCCUAACAUCGCCUGCCCUGAAGUCCUCAGUUGAAGCUCUCUUGUCUGGGGAUACCUGAAGUGAAAGGGACAGAGUCCCUGUCUCAUACCGGACAAGGAUGGCUUGCAGAGGAACUGAGUAUGGAACAUCAGAUGAAGUUGGAAGAAGCCUAACAUCGCCUGCCCUGAAGUCCUCAGUUGAAGCUCUCUUGUCUGGGGAUACCUGAAGUGAAAGGGACAGAGUCCCUGUCUCAUACCGGACAAGGAUGGCUUGCAGAGGAACUGAGUAUGGAACAUCAGAUGAAGUUGGAAGAAGCCUAACAUCGCCUGCCCUGAAGUCCUCAGUUGAAGCUCUCUUGUCUGGGGAUACCUGAAGUGAAAGGGACAGAGUCCCUGUCUCAUACCAGACAAGAAUGGCUUGCAGAGGAACUGAGUAUGGAACAUCAGAUGAAGUUGGAAGAAGCCUAACAUCGCCUGCCCUGAUGUCAUCAGUUGAAGCUCUCUUGCCUGAGGAUACCUGAAGUGAAAGGGACAGAGUCCCUGUCUCCUACCGGACAAGGACGGCUUGCAGAGGAUCUGAGUAUGGAACAUCAGAUGAAGUUGGAAGAAGCCUAACAUCGCCCGCCCUGAUGUCAUAAGUUGAAGCUCUCUUGCCUGAGGAUACCUGAAGUGAAAGGAACAGAGUCCCUGUCUCAUACCGGACAAGGACGGCUUGCAGAGGAACUGAGUAUGGAACAUCAGAUGAAGUUGGAAGAAGCCUAACAUCGCCUGCCCUGAUGUCAUCAGUUGAAGCUCUCUUGCCUGAGGAUACCUGAAGUGAAAGGUAAGAAACACUUGACUUUCCAAAGGAACUCAAAAUGCUCAGGUGUUGAUGGAGCUCGCAGGAGUUCCCAACCAUGAAUCAUGAUCCUUUGGGACCUGGUUCAGGCUCACUGCCUGUGGCUACUCCUGUGAUUGGAGAAUAGGCCCAUUGGUUCGUGGUAAAGGAUGUGAAUGUCUUGAAUUCUCUUCCCUCACCAAACCUGAUCUAUUUUGAGUAUACUAAGUGUCAUGGCAGGGGGUACACCAGCAUGCUUGGAUCGAUGAUGAUUUCCAAUAAAACAUUCCUUGGAAAGCUGAACAAAAUGAGUGAAAACUCAAUACCGCCACUAUCAUCGUGACUGAGGUCCAGCACCUGGGAUCACAAAUGUCACUGAGGGACUCACAUGGCCUCCAUUCAUCUUGCGAGACUUGGAUCCAUUGAGAGAGCCUUCAGAAUGUUCUUUGCUUGCCUAAAUCACCAGAAAUCAUGGCCUAAAUCAAGGCUUCACCUUUUGCUCUAAUGAUAACAUGCUUUCCAGUUGAGGAGAUCAUUGUCAUUAUCUUGGAAGUUAGCCCUACCAACUCCAUCAACAAUAAUGUAUAGUAGGUUGUGAGGCAAAUGUAAGUUUAGCGGGGGCAGCAUAGUGCAACAAUGUACACUGGAAUGUCAGGAAAUGUGUUUCUGUCCCUGUCUGAACCUUCGCAUGAAUGAUAACCCUUCUGUUUCAUAAAACAGAGAUACAUAACGGGAAGGUUACAGGCAACAUGUGGAAUGAGGCAGUAGCAAUUCUCAGGAACUAUGGGAAUGUGGACUCUUCCUGUGUGAAAACAAAGCUCUGUUUUCUUGAAAGACUGAUUGUGGCCAUGGCAAUUAGGUUGGAAAGAGCCUUGGAAUUUAAAAGGUUGGCAUGUAGCCUUCGUGUCGGUGGAUUCUAGAAGGACAUGCUUUCAAAUGUCCCAGUAUUCAUACCACCUUCAUGGAUGUAUGGAGAACACACAUUUUAAUCCUAGUUUCUAUUUUUAUUGUUGGGAUAUUUUUUGUCAGUCUAUCCGGGUAGUUUGCCAGCAGUUGUUAUGGAUUGACUGUACCAAAAUGGUCUGGACAUACAUCUCUACCUAUUCUAGGAUCUAAGAAUGUGAUCAUGCAAGUUUGUUUCUUACACAACUCCUUCUAGGAAUUUUAUAUUUUGGUAUGUCCGUAGAAGAUAGGCAUGGAGUGUCUGCGGGAUUAUCUUUCCUUAUGGUCUUGAUGUGGCCUUGCUGAAGAUUAACUUGACAUUUUGGCUAUGUCUUUUGGGGCUGAUGGUAGUCCUGUUAUCUUAGACAUUGUUCUUUUCUCCAAACAAAUAUCAACAAGUAAUUGUGUUUCCAUUUGAUUAUGAAAGUGAGCUGUAUGCUUAGUAUCAUGCUGUUGAUAAUAACAUAUAUCUCAGUGACUACAGGUUAUGCUUGUGUUUGGUGACCUGAGAGGGUUUGAACAGACACUUUCUCUGUGGUGAUCAAUGUCAGAUACCACAGCAAUAGCACUCACAGGAAUUUAGUACCAGUCAAAACCUGAAUAGGAGAUAUAUGAGCAUGGACAGAGACAGAGAGUAAGAACAAUUGUUGAAGAGGAUAAGCAUUUGUGAGACAGAGGAAGACAGUAAGAGACAGAAAGAGAGAGGGGGGGGAAGAGAGGGGGUGGGAAGUGAAAGAGGACACUGUGAUAUUAAAGCAGAUAUCUUGAUUGACAGAAAUAAGGAAACCAUAUAGAGAGAAUGUGAGUGAGAAACUGAGAAGCUACGAGAGUCACUGCAAGUCAAUUUCAGAGAGAAAGUGAAGAAACAAGAUAGAGAAAGAGUACAUAAGAAGUCCAUUCCUCUAAUGUGGAUGAGAAUCUUAUAUGAUAUUUGAAUCUGUUCUCAUCGAAGGCAGAGUAGGACUAAUAGGUGUAGUAAGUUAUGAUUAUGGAGGGUGCUCCGAUUGUGGCCAAAGCAUUUAAGAUUCUGCUGGUUUUCAUGGGAAGAGUAAGGCCUGAUUUUCUCUGUCUAUCCGGCUGAACUGAGAUUUACUUAUUUUUGUAGACAACUUCCAUUAAGCCAUGUUAGUGGUCUCAUUCUGUUGUGUACCUCGUGCCAAUUUCUUUGGAUGGUUCUCAAGUGAUGUACAUACUACUGUAGUUUUCGGGAUCAGAUAUUGGCUUCGUACCAUCUUAAGAACUUUGUUGCAUGGUAACCUCCAGGAAUUCGGUGAUAGAAUUGGGAAAAUUAUGUCCCCAAACAGUUCCUUGGAGGAAAAAUAUCUCUGAUAUGGAUUGUGAUGGCAACUAUCUAGAGGACGAGGGGAGUGCUGAGAGAGCCGAAGUGUUCGAUAAAUUAAGAACUAACAACAAUGCAUCACAGUCUCCAUGAUUUUCAAGGAAUCCAAUAAAGUGGGGGAAUGUGCUAUUUGCUUUACUUUCAGGAACAGAGUCCCUGUCUCAUAACGGACAGGGACGGCUUGCAGAGGAUCUGAGUAUGGAACAUCAGAUGAAGUUGGAAGAAGCCUAACAUCGCCUGCCCUGAUGUCAUCAGUUGAGGCUCUCCUGCCUGAGGAUACCUGAAGUGAAAGGGACAGAGUCCCUGUCACCUACCGGACAAGGACGGCUUGCAGAGGAUCUGAGUAUGGAACAUCAGAUGAAGUUGGAAGAAGCCUAACAUCGCCUGCCCUGAUGUCAUCAGUUGAAGCUCUCUUGCCUGAGGAUACUUGAAGUGAAAGGGACAGAGUCCCUGUCUCAUACCGGACAGGGACGGCUUGCAGAGGAUCUGAGUAUGGAACAUCAGAUGAAGUUGGAAGAAGCCUAACAUCGCCUGCCCUGAUGUCAUCAGUUGAGGCUCUCCUGCCUGAGGAUACCUGAAGUGAAAGGGACAGAGUCCCUGUCACCUACCGGACAAGGACGGCUUGCAGAGGAUCUGAGUAUGGAACAUCAGAUGAAGUUGGAAGAAGCCUAACAUCGCCUGCCCUGAUGUCAUCAGUUGAAGCUCUCUUGCCUGAGGAUACCUGAAGUGAAAGGUAAGAAACACUUGACUUUCCAAAGGAACUCAAAAUGCUCAGGUGUUGAUGGAGCUUGCAGGAGUUCCCAACCUUGAAUCAUGAUCCUUUGGGACCUGGUUCAGGCUCACUGCCUGUGGCUACUCCUGUGAUUGGAGAAUAGGCCCAUUGGUUCGUGGUAAAGGAUGUGAAUGUCUUGAAUUCUGCUCCCUCACCAAACCUGAUCUAUUUUGAGUGUACUAAGUGUCAUGGCAGGGGGUACACCAGCGUGCUUGGAUCGAUGAUGGUUUCCAAUAAAACAUUCCUUGGAAAGCUGAACAAAAUGAGUGAAAACUCAAUACCGCCACUAUCAUCGUGACUGAGGUCCAGCACCUGGGAUCACAAAUGUCACUGAGGGACUCACAUGGCCUCCAUUCAUCUUGCGAGACUUGGAUCCAUUGAUAGAGCCUUCAGAAUGUUCUUUGCUUGCCUAAAUCACCAGAAAUCAUGGCCUAAAUCAAGGCUUCACCUUUUGCUCUAAUGAUAACAUGCUUUCCAGUUGAGGAGAUCAUUGUCAUUAUCUUGGAAGUUAGCCCUACCAACUCCAUCAACAAUAAUGUAUAGUAGGUUGUGAGGCAAAUGUAAGUUUAGCGGGGGCAGCAUAGUGCAACAAUGUACACUGAAAUGUCAGGAAAUGUGUUUCUGUCCCUGUCUGAACCUUCGCAUGAAUGAUAACCCUUCUGUUUCAUAAAACAGAGAUACAUAACGGGAAGGUUACAGGCGACAUGUGGAAUGAGGCAGUAGCAAUUCUCAGGAACUAUGGGAAUGUGGACUCUUCCUGUGUGAAAACAAAGCUCUGUUUUCUUGAAAGACUGAUUGUGGCCAUGGCAAUUAGGUUGGAAAGAGAGCCUUGGAAUUUAAAAGGUUGGCAUGUAGCCUUCUUGUCGGUGGAUUCUAGAAGGACAUGCUUUCAAAUGUCCCAGGAUUCAUACCACCUUCAUGGAUGUAUGGAGAACACCCAUUUUAAUCCUAGUUUCUAUUUUUAUUGUUGGGAUAUUUUUUGUCAGUCUAUCCGGGUAGUUUGCCAGCAGUUGUUAUGGAUUGACUGUACCAAAAUGGUCUGGACAUACAACUCCACCUAUUCUAGGAUCUAAGAAUGUGAUCAUGCAAGUUUGUUUCUUACACAACUCCUUCUAGGAAUUUUAUAUUUUGGUAUGUCCGUAGAAGAUAGGCAUGGAGUGUCUGCGGGAUUAUCUUUCCUUAUGGUCUUGAUGUGGCCUUGCUGAAGAUUAACUUGACAUUUUGGCUAUGUCUUUUGGGGCUGAUGGUAGUCCUGUUAUCUUAGACAUUGUUCUUUUCUCCAAGCAAAUAUCAACAAGUAAUUGUGUUUCCAUUUGAUUAUGAAAGUGAGCUGUAUGCUUAGUAUCAUGCUGUUGAUAAUAACAUAUAUCUCAGUGACUACAGGUUAUGCUUGUGUUUGGUGACCUGAGAGGGUUUGAACAGACACUUUCUCUGUGGUGAUCAAUGUCAGAUACCACAGCAAUAGCACUCACAGGAAUUUAGUACCAGUCAAAACAUGAAUAGGAGAUAUAUGAGCAUGGACAGAGACAGAGAGUAAGAACAAUUGUUGAAGAGGAUAAGCAUUUGUGAGACAGAGGAAGACAGUAAGAGACAGAAAGAGAGAGGGGGGGGAAGAGAGGGGGUGGGAAGUGAAAGAGGACACUGUGAUAUUAAAGCAGAUAUCUUGAUUGACAGAAAUAAGGAAACCAUAUAGAGAGAAUGUGAGUGAGAAACUGAGAAGCUAGGAGAGUCACUGCAAGUCAAUUUCAGAGAGAAAGUGAAGAAACAAGAUAGAGAAAGAGUACAUAAGAAGUCCAUUCCUCUAAUGUGGAUGAGAAUCUUAUAUGAUAUUUGAAUCUGUUCUCAUCGAAGGCAGAGUAGGACUAAUAGGUGUAGUAAGUUAUGAUUAUGGAGGGUGCUCCGAUUGUGGCCAAAGCAUUUAAGAUUCUGCUGGUUUUCAUGGGAAGAGUAAGGCCUGAUUUUCUCUGUCUAUCCGGCUGAACUGAGAUUUACUUAUUUUUGUAGACAACUUCCAUUAAGCCAUGUUAGUGGUCUCAUUCUGUUGUGUACCUCGUGCCAAUUUCUUUGGAUGGUUCUCAAGUGAUGUACAUACUACUGUAGUUUUCGGGAUCAGAUAUUGGCUUCGUACCAUCUUAAGAACUUUGUUGCAUGGUAACCUCCAGGAAUUCGGUGAUAGAAUUGGGAAAAUUAUGUCCCCAAACAGUUCCUUGGAGGAAAAAUAUCUCUGAUAUGGAUUGUGAUGGCAACUAUCUAGAGAACGAGGGGAGUGCUGAGAGAGCCGAAGUGUUCGAUAAAUUAAGAACUAACAACAAUGCAUCACAGUCUCCAUGAUUUUCAAGGAAUCCAAUAAAGUGGGGGAAUGUGCUAUUUGCUUUACUUUCAGGGACAGAGUCCCUGUCUCAUACCGGACAGGGACGGCUUGCAGAGGAUCUGAGUAUGGAACAUCAGAUGAAGUUGGAAGAAGCCUAACAUCGCCUGCCCUGAUGUCAUCAGUUGAGGCUCUCCUGCCUGAGGAUACCUGAAGUGAAAGGGACAGAGUCCAUGUCUCAUACCGGACAAGGACGGCUUGCAGAGGAUCUGAGUAUGGAACAUCAGAUGAAGUUGGAAGAAGCCUAACAUCGCCUGCCCUGAUGUCAUCAGUUGAAGCUCUCUUGCCUGAGGAUACCUGAAGUGAAAGGUAAGAAACACUUGACUUUCCAAAGGAACUCAAAAUGCUCAGGUGUUGAUGGAGCUCGCAGGAGUUCCCAACCUUGAAUCAUGAUCCUUUGGGACCUGGUUCAGGCUCACUGCCUGUGGCUACUCCUGUGAUUGGAGAAUAGGCCCAUUGGUUCGUGGUAAAAGAUGUGAAUGUCUUGAAUUCUGCUCCCUCACCAAACCUGAUCUAUUUUGAGUGUACUAAGUGUCAUGGCAGGGGGUACACCAGCGUGCUUGGAUCGAUGAUGGUUUCCAAUAAAACAUUCCUUGGAAAGCUGAACAAAAUGAGUGAAAACUCAAUACCGCCACUAUCAUCGUGACUGAGGUCCAGCACCUGGGAUCACAAAUGUCACUGAGGGACUCACAUGGCCUCCAUUCAUCUUGCGAGACUUGGAUCCAGUGUUAGAGCCUUCAGAAUGUUCUUUGCUUGCCUAAAUCACCAGAAAUCAUGACCUAAAUCAAGGCUUCACCAUUUGCUCUAAUGAUAACAUGCUUUCCAGUUGAGGAGAUCAUUGUCAUUAUCUUGGAAGUUAGCCCUACCAACUCCAUCAACAAUAAUGUAUAGUAGGUUGUGAGGCAAAUGUAAGUUUAGCGGGGGCAGCAUAGUGCAACACUGUACACUGGAAUGUCAGGAAAUGUGUUCCUGUCCCUGUCUGAACCUUCGCAUGAAUGAUAAAACUUCUGUUUCAUAAAACAGAGAUACAUAACGGGAAGGUUACAGGCGACAUGUGGAAUGAGGCAGUAGCAAUUCUCAGGAACUAUGGGAAUGUGGACUCUUCCUGUGUGAAAACAAAGCUCUGUUUUCUUGAAAGACUGAUUGUGGCCAUGGCAAUUAGGUUGGAAAGAGAGCCUUGGAAUUUAAAAGGUUGGCAUGUAGCCUUCUUGUCGGUGGAUUCUAGAAGGACAUGCUUUCAAAUGUCCCAGGAUUCAUACCACCUUCAUGGAUGUAUGGAGAACACCCUUUUUAAUCCUAGUUUCUAUUUUUAUUGUUGGGACAUUUUUUGUCAGUCUAUCCGGGUAGUUUGCCAGCAGUUGUUAUGGAUUGACUGUACCAAAAUGGUCUGGACAUACAUCUCCACCUAUUCUAGGAUCUAAGAAUGUGAUCAUGCAAGUUUGUUUCUUACACACACUCCUUCUAGGAAUUUUAUAUUUUGGUAUGGCCGUAGAAGAUAGGCAUGGAGUGUCUGCGGGAUUAUCUUUCCUUAUGGUCUUCAUGUGGCCUUGCUGAAGAUUAACUUGGCAUUUUGGCUAUGUGUUUUGGGGCUGAUGGUAGUCCUGUUAUCUUAGACAUUGUUCUUUUCUCCAAGCAAAUAUCAACAAGUAAUUGUGUUUCCAUUUGAUUAUAAAGUGAGCUGUAUGCUUAGGAUCAUGCUGUUGAUAAUAACAUAUAUCUCAGUGACUACAGGUUAUGCUUGUGUUUGGUGACCUGAGAGGGUUUGAACAGACACUUUCUCUGUUGUGAUCAAUGUCAGAUACCACAGCAAUAGCACUCACAGGAAUUUAGUACCAGUCAAAACCUGAAUAGGAGAUAUGAGCAUGGACAGAGACAGAGAGAAAGAACAAUUGUUGAAGAGGCUAAGCAUGUGUGAGACAGAGGAAGACAGUAAGAGACAGAAAGGGGGGGGGAAGAGUGGGGGUGAGAAGUGAAAGAGGACACUGUGAUAUUAAAGCAGAUAUCUUGAUUGACAGAAAUAAGGAAACCAAAUAGAGAGAAUGUGAAUGAGAAACUGAGAAGCUAGGAGAGUCACUGCUAGUCAAAUUCAGAGAGAAAGUGAAGAAGCGAGAUAGAGAAGGAGUACAUAAGAAGUCCAUACAUCUAAUGUGGAUCAGAAUCUUAUAUGAUAUUUGAAUCGGUUCUCAUCGAAGGCAGAGUAGGACUAAUAGGUGUAGUAUGUUAUGAUUAUCGAGGGUGCUCCGAUUGUGGCCAAAGCUAUUAAGAUCCUGGUGGUUUCCAUGGGAAGAGUAAGGCCUGAUUUUCUCUGUCUAUCCGGCUGAACUGAGAUUUACUUAUUUUUGUAGACAACUUCCAUUAAGCCAUGUUAGUGGUCUCAUUCUGUUGUGUACCUCGUGCCAAUUUCUUUGGAUGGUUCUCAAGUGAUGUACAUACUACUGUAGUUUUCGGGAUCAGAUAUUGGCUGCGUCCCAUCUUAAGAACUUUGUUGCAUGGUAACCUCCAGGAAUUCGGUGAUAGAAUUGGGAAAAUUAUGUCCCCAAUCAGUUCCUUGGAGGAAAAAUAUCUCUGAUAUGGAUUGUGAGGGCAAAUUUCUAGAGGACGGAAGGAGUGCUGAGACAGCCCAAGUGUUCGAUAAAUUAAGAACUAACAACAAUGCAUCACAGUCUCCAUGAUUUUCAAGGAAUCCAAUAAAGUGGGGGAAUGUGCUAUUUGCUUUACUUUCAGGGACAGAGUCCCUGUCACCUACCGGACAAGGACGGCUUGCAGAGGAUCUGAGUAUGGAACAUCAGAUGAAGUUGGAAGAAGCCUAACAUCGCCUGCCCUGAUGUCAUCAGUUGAAGCUCUCUUGCCUGAGGAUACCUGAAGUGAAAGGUAAGAAACACUUGACUUUCCAAAGGAACUCAAAAUGCUCAGGUGUUGAUGGAGCUCGCAGGAGUUCCCAACCUUGAAUCAUGAUCCUUUGGGACCUGGUUCAGGCUCACUGCCUGUGGCUACUCCUGUGAUUGGAGAAUAGGCCCAUUGGUUCGUGGUAAAGGAUGUGAAUGUCUUGAAUUCUGCUCCCUCACCAAACCUGAUCUAUUUUGAGUGUACUAAGUGUCAUGGCAGGGGGUACACCAGCGUGCUUGGAUCGAUGAUGGUUUCCAAUAAAACAUUCCUUGGAAAGCUGAACAAAAUGAGUGAAAACUCAAUACCGCCACUAUCAUCGUGACUGAGGUCCAGCACCUGGGAUCACAAAUGUCACUGAGGGACUCACAUGGCCUCCAUUCAUCUUGCGAGACUUGGAUCCAUUGAUAGAGCCUUCAGAAUGUUCUUUGCUUGCCUAAAUCACCAGAAAUCAUGGCCUAAAUCAAGGCUUCACCUUUUGCUCUAAUGAUAACAUGCUUUCCAGUUGAGGAGAUCAUUGUCAUUAUCUUGGAAGUUAGCCCUACCAACUCCAUCAACAAUAAUGUAUAGUAGGUUGUGAGGCAAAUGUAAGUUUAGCGGGGGCAGCAUAGUGCAACAAUGUAAACUGAAAUGUCAGGAAAUGUGUUUCUGUCCCUGUCUGAACCUUCGCAUGAAUGAUAACCCUUCUGUUUCAUAAAACAGAGAUACAUAACGGGAAGGUUACAGGCGACAUGUGGAAUGAGGCAGUAGCAAUUCUCAGGAACUAUGGGAAUGUGGACUCUUCCUGUGUGAAAACAAAGCUCUGUUUUCUUGAAAGACUGAUUGUGGCCAUGGCAAUUAGGUUGGAAAGAGAGCCUUGGAAUUUAAAAGGUUGGCAUGUAGCCUUCUUGUCGGUGGAUUCUAGAAGGACAUGCUUUCAAAUGUCCCAGGAUUCAUACCACCUUCAUGGAUGUAUGGAGAACACCCAUUUUAAUCCUAGUUUCUAUUUUUAUUGUUGGGACAUUUUUUGUCAGUCUAUCCGGGUAGUUUGCCAGCAGUUGUUAUGGAUUGACUGUACCAAAAUGGUCUGGACAUACAUCUCCACCUAUUCUAGGAUCUAAGAAUGAGAUCAUGCAAGUUUGUUUCUUACACACACUCCUUCUAGGAAUUUUAUAUUUUGGUAUGGCCGUAGAAGAUAGGACUGGAAUGUCUGCGGGAUUAUCUUUCCUUAUGGUCUUGAUGUGGCCUUGCUGAAGAUUAACUUGGCAUUUUGGCUAUGUGUUUUGGGGCUGAUGGUAGUCCUGUUACCUUAGACAUUGUUCUUUUCUCCAAGCAAAUAUCAACAAGUAAUUGUGUUUCCAUUUGAAUAUGAAAGUGAGCUGUAUGCUUAGGAUCAUGCUGUUGAUAAUAACAUAUAUCUCAGUGACUACAGGUUAUGCUUGUGUUUGGUGACCUGAGAGGGUUUGAACAGACACUUUCUCUGUGGUGAUCAAUGUCAGAUACCACAGCAAUAGCACUCACAGGAAUUUAGUACCAGUCAAAACCUGAAUAGGAGAUAUAUGAGCAUGGACA
Non-coding RNA from Rattus norvegicus (Norway rat), 21981 nucleotides. The record is from RefSeq and is a predicted model, not a curated record. NCBI's taxonomy places the organism in Eukaryota, Metazoa, Chordata, Mammalia, Rodentia, Muridae.